AGCCUGAUCCAGCCAUUCCGCGUGAGUGAAGAAGGCCUUCGGGUUGUAAAGCUCUUUCGCAAGGGAAGAAAACUUACACAAUAACACUGUGUGAGGCUGACGGUACCUUGAUAAGAAGCACCGGCUAACUACGUGCCAGCAGCCGCGGUAAUACGUAGGGUGCGAGCGUUAAUCGGAAUUACUGGGCGUAAAGCGUGCGCAGGCGGUUUUGUAAGUCAGAUGUGAAAUCCCCGAGCUCAACUUGGGAACUGCGUUUGAAACUACAAGGACUAGAAUAUGUCAGAGGGGGGUAGAAUUCCACGUGUAGCAGUGAAAUGCGUAGAGAUGUGGAGGAAUACCAAUGGCGAAGGCAGCCCCCUGGGAUAAUAUUGACGCUCAUGCACGAAAGCGUGGGGAGCAAACAGGAUUAGAUACCCUGGUAGUCCACGCCCUAAACGAUGUCUACUAGUUGUUGGUGGAGUAAAAUCCAUGAGUAACGCAGCUAACGCGUGAAGUAGACCGCCUGGGGAGUACGGUCGCAAGAUAUAAAAACUCAAAGGAU
RNAcentral lists this ribosomal RNA (541 nucleotides) under Methylophilus sp. enrichment culture clone VMA62. Its description in RNAcentral is "bacterial SSU rRNA". It matches the Rfam family "Bacterial small subunit ribosomal RNA", at positions 380 to 909 of the family's 1533-position model. Lineage: Bacteria; Pseudomonadati; Pseudomonadota; Betaproteobacteria; Nitrosomonadales; Methylophilaceae. The record is from RNAcentral.